ACGAGUUCUGACUGGGUUAGAGCUGGCCUUUCUGAGGCAUGUGCUCGCCCUGCUCAUCCACUCUACACCUGUGCACUCACUGUGGGUUUCAGACGGUGUUAGCGGGCCUUUACGGGCUCGUGAAGUCGUCUGUGCCUGCGUUUAUUACAAACUCUUACAAGUAUCAGAAUGUGUAUUGCGAUUUAACGCAUUUAAUA
This 197-nucleotide unclassified non-coding RNA is filed under the name uncultured Basidiomycota. RNAcentral's name for it is "sequence contains ITS1". The record is from RNAcentral. Lineage: Eukaryota; Fungi; Basidiomycota.